RNAcentral lists this ribosomal RNA (520 nucleotides) under uncultured Paraglomus. RNAcentral describes it as "bacterial SSU rRNA". It matches the Rfam family "Eukaryotic small subunit ribosomal RNA", at positions 569 to 1088 of the family's 1831-position model. The record is from RNAcentral. Lineage: Eukaryota; Fungi; Glomeromycota; Glomeromycetes; Paraglomerales; Paraglomeraceae.
AGCAGCCGCGGUAAUUCCAGCUCCAAUAGCGUAUAUUAAAGUUGUUGCAGUUAAAAAGCUCGUAGUUGAACUUCAGGCCUGUCCAGACGGUCCGCCUUAAUUGGUGUGUACUGUCCUUGGGUGGGUCCUACCUUCUGGCGAAGCGGCAUGGCCUUAAUUGGUUGUGUCGGGGAACCAGGACUUUUACUGUGAAAAAAUUAGAGUGUUCAAAGCAGGCAAAUAUGCUCGAAUACAUUAGCGUGGAAUAAUGGAAUAGGACGAUGGUUCUAUUUUGUUGGUUCUAGGACCGUUGUAAUGAUUAAUAGGGAUAGUUGGGGGCAUUAGUAUUCAAUUGUCAGAGGUGAAAUUCUUGGAUUUAUUGAAGACUAACUACUGCGAAAGCAUUUGCCAAGGAUGUUUUCAUUAAUCAAGAACGAAAGUUAGGGGAUCGAAGACGAUCAGAUACCGUCGUAGUCUUAACCAUAAACUAUGCCGACUACGGAAUCGGGCGAUGUUGACAAAAUAGACUCGCUCGGCGACC